GAUGAACGCUAGCGGGAGGCUUAACACAUGCAAGUCGAGGGGCAGCAUAGGGUAGCAAUACUCUGAUGGCGACCGGCAAACGGGUGAGUAACGCGUAUGUAACCUACCCUGUACAGGGGGAUAACCCGGAGAAAUUCGGACUAAUAUCCCAUAACAAUAUCCGGGGGCAUCUUUGGAUAUUUAAAGUUCCGGCGGUACGGGAUGGGCAUGCGUAACAUUAGCUAGUUGGUAAGGUAACGGCUUACCAAGGCUUUGAUGUUUAGGGGUCCUGAGAGGGUGGUCCCCCACACUGGUACUGAGACACGGACCAGACUCCUACGGGAGGCAGCAGUGAGGAAUAUUGGUCAAUGGGCGCAAGCCUGAACCAGCCAUCCCGCGUGCAGGAAGACGGCGCUAUGCGUUGUAAACUGCUUUUCCAGGGAGAGAAACUUGCGCACGUGUUGCGCAAUUGACGGUACCCUGGGAAUAAGCAUCGGCUAACUCCGUGCCAGCAGCCGCGGUAAUACGUAG
RNAcentral lists this ribosomal RNA (510 nucleotides) under uncultured bacterium. RNAcentral's name for it is "bacterial SSU rRNA". It matches the Rfam family "Bacterial small subunit ribosomal RNA", at positions 28 to 530 of the family's 1533-position model. The record is from RNAcentral.